Molecule: non-coding RNA, 29 nt
Filed under: Mus musculus (house mouse)
Lineage: Eukaryota; Metazoa; Chordata; Mammalia; Rodentia; Muridae
Source: RNAcentral
UGGAAAUCAACAGAGCCAUUUACUAUAAA